RNAcentral lists this ribosomal RNA (253 nucleotides) under uncultured bacterium. RNAcentral describes it as "partial 16S ribosomal RNA". It matches the Rfam family "Bacterial small subunit ribosomal RNA", at positions 524 to 776 of the family's 1533-position model. The record is from RNAcentral.
UACGGGGGGGGCAAGCGUUGUUCGGAAUUACUGGGCGUAAAGGGUUCGUAGGUGGCUUGCUAAGUCAGACGUGAAAUCCCUCAGCUCAACUGGGGAACUGCGUCUGAGACUGGCGAGCUUGAGUGCCGGAGAGGGUCGCGGAAUUCCCGGUGUAGAGGUGAAAUUCGUAGAUAUCGGGAGGAACACCAGUGGCGAAGGCGGCGACCUGGACGGACACUGACGCUGAGACGCGAAAGCGUGGGGAGCAAACAGG